This 2841-nucleotide long non-coding RNA is filed under the name Amphibalanus amphitrite. RNAcentral's name for it is "uncharacterized LOC122387625, transcript variant X2". The record is from RNAcentral. Lineage: Eukaryota; Metazoa; Arthropoda; Thecostraca; Balanomorpha; Balanidae.
ACAAGACCGAUGUGGGGUCUAUUUAAAGCAUGAUAGUAAACAAAAUUGAAUUUUGUAUCUAUUGGUAUAGGUUUUUAAACAACAUAAACGCGGGAACUUUACGAAACGUGGUAUUGAAAACUGCCGACCAUAAUUAUCACCCGCAGUUGCGCGCAGUUUUCUGUACUGCUAUCGCUAGCAAACGCCAGCUUUUGUAUUUGAUUGGUUUAACGGCGUUUCUUUUACUGAUUGAGAACACUUUUAAGUUUCAAGCUAUUCAGCAUGGCUUUGGAUUCAACUCAAGGUGCUCCUCAAGGCUAUAAACAUUUUCAAAUUUAAUGAAUUUUCUUGUUGAUUUGUUUUUGAGAGGCCACGGAACAGGAAACGGAUUUGAAAUGUAUUUUAAUUGUGAGUUUAUCUGUGCCGGGUGGGGUGGAUUUGUGUCAAGUUUCUUUUCUGUGGUUAGUUGAGAUACAAAUCAAAAUAGUUUUUAUAUUGAUUUGCCAUCGGGAUUAUUAGGUAGGUACCUAUCCUACGAAGUAUGUAGUCUACCUGAAGUCAAGUCUAUAUAAACCCCUCACCCAGAUUCGUUUUGGUCCUCUGCUCUCUUGUUUCCAUGAUCCUGAUCCUCUCCUUCUCUUCUGCGUCUCAAUCUCCUGCUUCAGGUUGAGACCCUGCUGUGGUUGGCCAUUUCGAGUUGUGCUUUUGGAGCUUGCAGCAAUGCGUGUUGCAAGUACCUAACUCACCAGAAAAGAUGAUGCUCUGAGAAUUAAUAAACAAAAGCCCACAAAGUCCUGUAAUUGACAAGUUACAUGGAUAAGUUUGAGUUAUUAUAUCAUUAAAAAAGUCUUGCAAUGUGUGUAGCGAUCAUGAAAUACAUGCCCUCUGCGGGCUUUGUCCACCUCUCCCAAACAUCCACCCUGCUAAGGGUUGGACAGACAACUAUCCGAUGGGGGAAGCCUGGAGGUUCCCCCAGGGUCCAAUCUUAUAAAAUGUCUUACUAUUCUAUUCACGGCAUUUGGUAACAUUUAUGGUGAUGUCAGUGCUGUCAGUGCUGAGUCUGGGUGACUGAGUCUUCACAACUCACCUCAACCUGGGUGUCUGCCCAGACCAAUGUUUCCUCAUAAUGUCUCCAGGUCUCCACUGCUCUCCUUGCCUGUUUCAGCUGUCUACCCCUGCACGCCUGAUUCCUGACUCCCUCUCUCAUUCGCUUUACCCAGGUUUUGCCAAUGUUCUGAGUGUGCAGUUGCUACUUUUUGGUGCGCACACACCCCAGACUCUCCAUCCAAUUAACGCCUGAACAGUUGCUGAAAGUGCCUCCCACCAGACUUGCUGAAUGGCUACUACUUGCAUAUGCUAUCUGGACUGAAGCUUCCCCAACUAGCUGCCAUGGCUCUUGGCAGCUGGGCUUAAUAGGUCACAGGUCAAAGUUCAUUUGGGUCAGGUUCAUAAAAUGUCAAGGACAUGUGUAAAAUUGAUCAACUGGAGGGUACUGAAAGUUUCGUCGCAAUCGGCGUCUUUUUAUGCGAGUUAUGAGUUAUCCGCGAAAAACCGAGGAGGGGUCCGUUCGACCCCCCCCCCCAUACGGGCGAGGGUUAGGCCACAUUCGGAAAGUCAAGCUACAUCUAGCUAGGCACAUCAGCCUAUCACGGGCGUUUGACUAGUAAAAUAUAUACAUUUGCAGCCUUUUUUGACGUUGAAUAAGCUGAUUUAGUUAUAGGUCGUCGAUCGUCAUUAUGUGCCUGCCGCCGCUUUUGUCGUCUUCAUUGUGUGCUUUGUGGUUUUUUAGUUUUGAUCAUAUCAUCCUCCAUCAGGCUUGUUUCUGGCGGUGGUUCUGGAGACAGCGUGUCGAUCCAGCUGUAGAACGUCAUCCGGAGUUGGCAGAGUGUGAUGGCCAGCCACGCGGCGCGCGUAUCGACAUUGACCAGAAACUAUCACAUCAUCUCCAGGUCACUGGUCGAGGGCGCUCGAGCUGACGGUGUCUUCCGACGGCUCCACGGUGACCAGCGCCGCCACCGCCGAGACCAUCCGACUCCUGAAAUGCUAACGGCCGUGCACGAACAAGAGGCUCUAAGCAUCCAGGUGCAAGGCAAGCGCCAUGCUCAGAGGUGUCAUCCGAAGAAGGCCGCACAGUGCACUUUAGGGUGAGCUCGGGUGUAGUGCGCGCCGACGGAUAGGAUGAAAUGACGGGCCGGCCAUCAGAUUUCAGUGCGGGGAUCAAGAUGGUCGGAGCCGAUGUGGCUCGGUUGAUGGUGUGGCAGGGUUGAUUGAGAGUGAAAGCGAGACACCCGGAUCUGUAAAGAAUGCGCCGAUACGGGUCUCGAACGUCGUCUCGCAAUUUGUGCUCUGUAAUAUGACGGCUAUGCCGUGGUAUCAUUCACUCUCGGUGCGCUAAUAAAUAAUAAAUAGGACAGAGGCUGGAAUUAAGAUAUUAUAUUUGGAUGUAAGGGGCAGGUUUGGGCCAGCGCUAUUUUAGAAAUCGUGAGCGUGCUAGUUGCAAUCAAUCGUGCGCUUCUUGUUGAGCAUCUGUGAGCGAGAAAAUACUUUCUUUGGAACUUAGCAGUUCGUCGUGAAAUAUUUGUAUCUUUGGAGUAAGUUGUCAGAACAUGAAUGCAUUUUUGGUGUCCACUGCAGCUGCUGUUCUGGAACAGAAACAUGCCGAGAUCGGCUGUGUUUGUAUGUUGUGGCAAAAUCAAGCAGCCGUACCAUGAAUCAAAAGCGAUAUGUGAAUUAAAGUGAAUAUAUUUCACUAUUUUUCAGCUUUAUCAUACAGAUCACAGAAAUGCGUCAAAUACUGAUCACACCCGGUUCCAAACAAAAACGCUUGCGAUCACUGGAAAAUAAAUAAACAAUAGAUACCCA